This is a long non-coding RNA of Physella acuta, 428 nucleotides long. RefSeq lists it as uncharacterized. Lineage: Eukaryota; Metazoa; Mollusca; Gastropoda; Physidae. The record is from RefSeq and is a predicted model, not a curated record.
GUAAACGACUCGAAUCAGAACAUUAUAAGAGCUAUGACUAUAUAACAAACGUUAAUACGUGGAGGUUUGUAGAAAACAGCUCUGAAACAGACCAACAGUCGCAAUCGCUACCAGAAAUCUGCAACACGCUGUGUCCUGAAAAACUUGUAUGAAAAUGAAACUCUUGCUGAUAAUCAAUUUGUUGAUCAUUGCAAAUAUCUACGCUAAGCACAUCUCAAUUGUAAAAAAAAAUUGUGCAGAAAAAUAUGAAAUAUGCGAUGAGACGCCUUGCUGUGAUUCAAGUCACAUAUGCUUUUGCCACCCUGAACCAGUGAAUUAUUGUUGGUGUGAUGUAUGUAAUGGUACAUGGUGCAACUACUCACACUCGUCAACAAGACGACAUAGAGCCACUUAGACAUAAUAUUUACCAUUAAACGAUUAUAAUUGUA